RNAcentral lists this transfer RNA (75 nucleotides) under Microcaldota archaeon. RNAcentral's name for it is "tRNA-Glu". It matches the Rfam family "tRNA". From Rfam's summary of the family: Transfer RNA (tRNA) molecules are approximately 80 nucleotides in length. Their secondary structure includes four short double-helical elements and three loops (D, anti-codon, and T loops). The record is from RNAcentral. Lineage: Archaea; Nanobdellati; Microcaldota. RNAcentral also lists the same sequence under 1 other name.
GCUCCUGUCGUCUAGUUCGGUCAAGGACGUUAGCCUCUCACGCUAGAGACCCGGGUUCAAAUCCCGGCGGGAGCA